This 427-nucleotide ribosomal RNA is filed under the name uncultured bacterium. RNAcentral describes it as "partial 16S ribosomal RNA". It matches the Rfam family "Bacterial small subunit ribosomal RNA", at positions 355 to 774 of the family's 1533-position model. The record is from RNAcentral.
UGGGGAAUAUUGCACAAUGGGCGCAAGCCUGAUGCAGCCAUGCCGCGUGUAUGAAGAAGGCCUUCGGGUUGUAAAGUACUUUCAGCGAGGAGGAAGGCGUUGUGGUUAAUAACCGCAACGAUUGACGUUACUCGCAGAAGAAGCACCGGCUAACUCCGUGCCAGCAGCCGCGGUAAUACGGAGGGUGCAAGCGUUAAUCGGAAUUACUGGGCGUAAAGCGCACGCAGGCGGUCUGUCAAGUCGGAUGUGAAAUCCCCGGGCUCAACCUGGGAACUGCAUCCGAAACUGGCAGGCUAGAGUCUUGUAGAGGGGGGUAGAUUUCCAGGUGUAGCGGUGAAAUGCGUAGAGAUCUGGAGGAAUACCGGUGGCGAAGGCGGCCCCCUGGACAAAGACUGACGCUCAGGUGCGAAAGCGUGGGGAGCAAACA